CCUACGGGAGGCUGCAGUGGGGAAUAUUGCGCAAUGGGGGAAACCCUGACGCAGCAACGCCGCGUGAGUGAUGAAGGUCUUCGGAUUGUAAAACUCUGUCUUUUGGGACGAUAAUGACGGUACCAAAGGAGGAAGCCACGGCUAACUACGUGCCAGCAGCCGCGGUAAUACGUAGGUGGCAAGCGUUGUCCGGAUUUACUGGGCGUAAAGAGUAUGUAGGCGGAUAUUUAAGUCAGAUGUGAAAUUCCCGGGCUUAACCUGGGAGCUGCAUUUGAUACUGGAUAUCUAGAGUGCGGGAGAGGAAAGUGGAAUUCCUAGUGUAGCGGUGAAAUGCGUAGAGAUUAGGAAGAACACCAGUGGCGAAGGCGACUUUCUGGACCGUAACUGACGCUGAGAUACGAAAGCGUGGGGAGCAAACAGGAUUAGAUACCCCUGUAGUC
This 440-nucleotide ribosomal RNA is filed under the name uncultured Ilyobacter sp. Its description in RNAcentral is "bacterial SSU rRNA". It matches the Rfam family "Bacterial small subunit ribosomal RNA", at positions 338 to 795 of the family's 1533-position model. The record is from RNAcentral. Lineage: Bacteria; Fusobacteriati; Fusobacteriota; Fusobacteriia; Fusobacteriales; Fusobacteriaceae.